RNAcentral lists this ribosomal RNA (643 nucleotides) under uncultured bacterium. RNAcentral describes it as "bacterial SSU rRNA". It matches the Rfam family "Bacterial small subunit ribosomal RNA", at positions 232 to 885 of the family's 1533-position model. The record is from RNAcentral.
CGCGGCCUAUCAGCUUGUUGGUGGGGUAAUGGCCUACCAAGGCGACGACGGGUAGCCGGCCUGAGAGGGCGACCGGCCACACUGGGACUGAGACACGGCCCAGACUCCUACGGGAGGCAGCAGUGGGGAAUAUUGCACAAUGGGCGAAAGCCUGAUGCAGCGACGCCGCGUGAGGGAUGACGGCCUUCGGGUUGUAAACCUCUUUCAGCAGGGAAGAAGCUUUUGUGACGGUACCUGCAGAAGAAGCACCGGCUAACUACGUGCCAGCAGCCGCGGUAAUACGUAGGGUGCGAGCGUUGUCCGGAAUUAUUGGGCGUAAAGAGCUUGUAGGCGGUUUGUCGCGUCUGCUGUGAAAAUUCAGGGCUUAACCCUGGACGUGCAGUGGGUACGGGCAGACUAGAGUAUGGUAGGGGAGACUGGAAUUCCUGGUGUAGCGGUGGAAUGCGCAGAUAUCAGGAGGAACACCGAUGGCGAAGGCAGGUCUCUGGGCCAUUACUGACGCUGAGAAGCGAAAGCAUGGGGAGCGAACAGGAUUAGAUACCAUGGUAGUCCAUGUCGUAAACGUUGGGCGCUAGGCGUGGGUCUCAUUCCACGAGAUCCGUGUCGCAGCUAACGCAUUAAGCGCCCCGCCUGGGGAGUACGG